UACGAAGGGUUCAAGCGUUACUCGGAAUUACUGGGCGUAAAGCGUGCGUAGGUGGUUUGUUAAGUCUGUUGUGAAAGCCCCGGGCUCAACCUGGGAAUGGCAAUGGAUACUGGCAAGCUAGAGUGCGGUAGAGGGUAGUGGAAUUCCCGGUGUAGCGGUGAAAUGCGUAGAGAUCGGGAGGAACACCAGUGGCGAAGGCGGCUACCUGGACCAGCACUGACACUGAGGCACGAAAGCGUGGGGAGCAAACAGG
RNAcentral lists this ribosomal RNA (253 nucleotides) under uncultured bacterium. RNAcentral's name for it is "partial 16S ribosomal RNA". It matches the Rfam family "Bacterial small subunit ribosomal RNA", at positions 524 to 776 of the family's 1533-position model. The record is from RNAcentral.